CUUUGCAGGAAACAGGGCUCAAGGUGAACCAGCCAGCGUCCUUUGCGGUGCAGCUGAAUGGUGCACGGGGCGUGAUCGAUGCCAGGGUGCACACGCCCUCAGGAGCCGUGGAGGAGUGCUACGUCUCCGAGCUGGACAGUGACAAGCAUACCAUCCGCUUCAUCCCCCACGAGAAUGGUGUCCAUUCCAUCGAUGUCAAGUUCAAUGGUGCCCACAUCCCUGGAAGUCCCUUCAAGAUCCGUGUUGGA
Non-coding RNA from Microcebus murinus (gray mouse lemur), 248 nucleotides. The record is from RefSeq and is a predicted model, not a curated record. Lineage: Eukaryota; Metazoa; Chordata; Mammalia; Primates; Cheirogaleidae.